ACAAAUUAAUAAAUCACAACAAUAUUAUAUUUAUAAAAAGUGCAAUUUAUUUAUGUGUUGGAAACCACGACAAAAGAAGUAAAACAAUAUCAAAGCGUAAAAGGGUGUAUUUUUUCAUAACAGAAUUCACACUGAAUAUCAAAAUUUGUCUAUACAGAAACAUUUGACAGAAACGUCCACUCAAAGUGAAUAACUAUCGUUUUUUUUCUUUUUCUUUUUUUUUUUUUUUUUUUUUGCACUCGACUUCAAUCUUAAUUGUCUAGGAGUGUCAGUUUUAUUGUCGAUGUUCGGUGGUUUUCUCUGGGCACUCCGGCUUCCUCAACCAAUAAAAACUGGCCGACACGAAAUAGUCUCAUUUACAGGUUACAACGUCUUUGUUUCCUGCUACAUUUGUAUCAAGAGCAGGAUAAACAAAACAGAAAACAAGAUAAUAUAUGAUGUUUCAGUGGGUUUUCUCUGAUUUGAGUCAUAAAUUGUAACUCGUGACAAUACAGAAACAGGUUCGAAAAAAAGUAGUGCACAGUAAGUCCCCAUUGAAAUUCUGAUAUACGGAAUCUCCAUUGCGAACAAUAGAAUAAGAACGUUUAUCGAAUUUUUAAUACUGGAAGUACAUCAUAUAGAGAUGUUUACAAUGAACAAAAUUAG
This 645-nucleotide long non-coding RNA is filed under the name Mytilus galloprovincialis (Mediterranean mussel). Lineage: Eukaryota; Metazoa; Mollusca; Bivalvia; Mytilida; Mytilidae. The record is from RNAcentral.